GGGGGCCGACCCCGAAGAGCUUGCACAGAUUGCGUACCGGCUCGAUGAGGCAUUCUCAAACGGAUACGCNCUCGGGGGAGAAAGAUAAGGUGUUCGCUGGGCAACGCAGUGGGUCUAUGCCUAAAGUCGCCCAAAAGGGCUAUCGGGAGUGUCCGGAGGAAGAAGGCAAAUAAGGCCUUCACAUCAUGGAUCCGGCUUCCACAAAAUACGGGACAUGAGCGGUAGCUGCUUAGCACAUUGAAAGCGGCCGUCACGCUGAACCCCCUCUCCCAUGGGGAUCGGCCCAAUCGACUGGCCACCACCCCAAUCACCAGCCCGCAAAUCAAUGCCGAAUAUUUAGACUGUUCCGGAAUUGACUUGAGCCAAUCAGUAUCACCCAAGUAACCAGAUAUUAAGCGCUAAUCUUUAUUGAACCAUUGAAGCUACUAGCGGGGGAAAAAG
This 441-nucleotide ribosomal RNA is filed under the name uncultured prokaryote. Its description in RNAcentral is "partial 16S ribosomal RNA". The record is from RNAcentral.